ACGGGGGGUGCAAGCGUUGUUCGGAAUCAUUGGGCGUAAAGAGCGUGUAGGCGGCUAGGCAAGUCAGAUGUGAAAUCCCUGGGCUUAACCCAGGACGUGCAUUUGAAACUGCUUAGCUUGAGUAAGGGAGAGGGAGGUGGAAUUCCUGGUGUAGGGGUGAAAUUCGUAGAUAUCAGGAGGAACACCAGUGGCGAAGGCGGCUUCCUGGCCGGAUACUGACGCUGAGGUGCGAAAGCGUGGGGAUCAAACAG
This 251-nucleotide ribosomal RNA is filed under the name uncultured prokaryote. RNAcentral describes it as "partial 16S rRNA". It matches the Rfam family "Bacterial small subunit ribosomal RNA", at positions 525 to 775 of the family's 1533-position model. The record is from RNAcentral.